Molecule: ribosomal RNA, 497 nt
Filed under: uncultured bacterium
Lineage: Bacteria
Description: partial 16S ribosomal RNA
Rfam family: Bacterial small subunit ribosomal RNA
Source: RNAcentral
GAUGAACGCUGGCGGCGUGCCUAAUACAUGCAAGUCGAGCGAACGGACGAGAAGCUUGCUUCUCUGAUGUUAGCGGCGGACGGGUGAGUAACACGUGGAUAACCUACCUAUAAGACUGGGAUAACUUCGGGAAACCGGAGCUAAUACCGGAUGAUAUUUUGAACCGCAUGGUUCAAAAGUGAAAGACGGUCUUGCUGUCACUUAUAGAUGGAUCCGCGCUGCAUUAGCUAGUUGGUAAGGUAACGGCUUACCAAGGCAACGAUGCAUAGCCGACCUGAGAGGGUGAUCGGCCACACUGGAACUGAGACACGGUCCAGAAUCCUACGGGAGGCAGCAGUAGGGAAUCUUCCGCAGUGGGCGAAGUCCUGACGGAGCAACGCCGCGUGAGUGAUGAAGGUCUUCGGAUCGUAAAACUCUGUUAUUAGGGAAGAACAUAUGUGUAAGUAACUGUGCACAUCUUGACGGUACCUAAUCAGAAAGCCACGGCUAACUACGUG